CAGCGGCUGCAGGAGGCGGCGGCCGCUGGGGUGCGCCUGUGCGCCGGCUGCGGGGCGCGCGGGUGUGUCCGCGAGGUCCUGCUCAGGGCGGGCAAGGUCACCGAGGGGCGCCCCUCCCCAGCCCAGAGGCGGAGGUAGCGAGCCCACGCGAAAGUGAGACGCUGCGGCUCGGGCAGCCUGCUCAGCGCGCGGGCUACUUGGACUUCCCAGCCCGCAGAACUGUCUGCCGCUUGUGACCCAGACUAUAUAGUUAUCACACCACAGACCCGCGCUCCCAGGAGCGCUGGAAGGAAGCCCACGGGGCGCAGCUCCGCCCUCCAGGAGCGGGGUGGGGAGAAGCGAGGCGCGCGCUGCCACCCGGACAGGCCCGUGGAGUAGCUGUGGGCCUCCGACAGGACCGUGCCCUGCUUGAAGCUAACAAUGCUAAGGGCAUUUAGUGUUGCAUCAAACACCCUUCUCAUAACUGGAAAAGAGUUUCAGGGAAAAAAAAAGGCAAACAAAGCCGGAAUGACAGCCGAAGUUAGGAAACCAGGACACCUCUGCACAGUUAGGUCAGCUGGAAAGACCAGUGCUGCGGGCAGUGGAACCACAGUUCAAUUUUACACUGAUCCAUCACUUUCAUUUAACUGGAAUUAACAUCGCCUCAAAAAUACCCAGUGGAAAAACUCAGCCUUCUUACCCUAUUUUGUGUAGCCUAUUGUGCUGUGUGUGUGUGUGUUUUAGAAAUAGGGAACUGGUUUCUUUCUUUGUCUCAUCCUGAUCUUCCUGUUGUGAAUUUGCAGUUUAAUAUGGCAUUUUGCAAUGACCUAAUUUUGGGGCAGAAUUAAAUCUGGGGUGUAUAUUGCACAACGUGUGAAUGACACCAUUAGCAGUGAUACACCAGAGCGACUUAGCUGACAUACUUUCAGCAAACUCCCUUCAAAGUACCCUUGGCAAGAAUGUAAGACAUUACUCACUCCAUGGAAACACAUAAUUAGAUUGAUAAUAUGGGGACUUUGAGAAAUUCCUUCCAAUCCUUCCAUACAAGGGCUUAUUUUCCUGCAUCUAAUGAUUAUCCUUUUGUAAUUUGGGUUCCUCUGAAACUUGAAAGUUGUGUGCAAGUAAACAACCCACGUCUGAAGGAGAGUGGUCAACUAGCUACUCGGACAGUGGCCACAGUGCUCACGAAGAGGAGGCUUUACCCCUCCCUGCUCAGCCUGGUGGAGGUCCAUGCCUCCUCCUUGCUGAACAUCAGUUCAUUUAAAAUUGAAACUGAAGACUGGAUGUUUGGCUUGAAUUGAUUGCUUUGGUUGGCUGCUUUGGUGAAACAAACAGGUGUAACAACUUGAAUCUGUAUCCCUCUCCAAAGUUCAUGUUGAAAUGUCAAGCUCAGCGCACAGACCUGGAAGUCUGUGCCCUUAUGAACGGCCCAUGAAUGGGCUCCAGGGGUCAAGCUUGCCCUUCCGUCCCUCCCACCAUGCCAGGAGCAACACUGGCCCUGCAGAGGCCCAGGACAGCCCUCACUGGACUGCAGCUCCGCUAUGCCUUUGUCUUGGACUUCCCAGCCCGCAGGACUGUCUGCCCUUUGUGACCCAGACCAUAUAGUAUUUUCUUAUCACAGCACAAUGGACUGAGACCAUGGCAAGAUUCUGAUGUCCCUUUCCUCCCCUACCCUGAAAGCCCUACAUUACCACAAACAGGAAGGGCUGAAGAAUGGCUGAGGGUGAGAUCGUCCAUGGAUUCUGCCAUCGGGGAUGCCCAGGCUUCGAGGCCUAAGUGGUGGCAGAGGUGGCGAUGGGGUUACUGAGAAGGCCUGUUGCCUGAAAGACACGCCACAGGGCACCGGGACAGGGCGUUUCAGCCCAUUCUGGUCUCCAGGAAGCCAGGCAGAAUCCCUAUCGGUCCCUCCUGGAGCCGUGACGGGCCCUGGGGAGCGUCUUGAACUGGCCUUUCCUCUCGUUCUCAGCCUGCCUUCCUUCUUCUUCCACUUUCCCCGAUCCUUUGUCUUAACUUGUUGAUGGACGAUGCUCUAGACAUCUCCAACCUUGUUUUGGAAUGAGGUGAAGAAUAAAUAACAAUUAUUCCCAGGAAAUAAAUUGAUAUUUAUUUCUUGAUACUAUUUAUAACAAAUAAAUGUGCUGUGACUUCACAAAGCCCUCGACACCCUGUGUUCCCACUGUAGAGAGGAAGACUCCACUCUGACCUGUCAGUCAACUUUCCAGUACUCUCCCGAAC
This 2214-nucleotide long non-coding RNA is filed under the name Marmota monax (woodchuck). The record is from RNAcentral. Lineage: Eukaryota; Metazoa; Chordata; Mammalia; Rodentia; Sciuridae.